UACGUAGGGUGCGAGCGUUGUCCGGAAUUACUGGGCGUAAAGAGCUCGUAGGUGGUUUGUCGCGUUGUUCGUGAAAACCGGGGGCUUAACCCUCGGCGUGCGGGCGAUACGGGCAGACUGGAGUACUGCAGGGGAGACUGGAAUUCCUGGUGUAGCGGUGGAAUGCGCAGAUAACAGGAGGAACACCGGUGGCGAAGGCGGGUCUCUGGGCAGUAACUGACGCUGAGGAGCGAAAGCGUGGGGAGCGAACAGG
RNAcentral lists this ribosomal RNA (253 nucleotides) under uncultured bacterium. RNAcentral's name for it is "partial 16S ribosomal RNA". It matches the Rfam family "Bacterial small subunit ribosomal RNA", at positions 524 to 776 of the family's 1533-position model. The record is from RNAcentral.